AUUGCUAGUAUCAUAAACAGUUGAGUAAGAAAAUUUUCUAAAUUAAUAAUCAAUUCUUACUGUUGAAUAAGCACUUCUUCCAGCAUACUUAAUAUUCCAAGCAACAGAGGCAAACCUUUAUUUUAGCUACAUUUAUGAUCACGGAGGGCCUGUGCCAUGGUUAGGUGGACACUGUUCUAACUACAAAAAUAUCUAAAGAAAUGAUGAACUGCGUACCUGUGGGGUGUGGCCUCUUCCUCAGAAGGCUGAUCAAUGCUGGGAGAUGGAUACAUGAAGGAUUAAUAAUUCGGAAUAAUCAAUAUUUUAUAUACUACACUUGAAAUUCUUAUGCAAAUGAAAUAAAUAAAGCUUGUGUCAAUGUUUCUGUA
This is a non-coding RNA of Peromyscus maniculatus bairdii (prairie deer mouse), 368 nucleotides long. The record is from RefSeq and is a predicted model, not a curated record. NCBI's taxonomy places the organism in Eukaryota, Metazoa, Chordata, Mammalia, Rodentia, Cricetidae.